CCCGCUGAGUUUAAGCAUAUCACUAAGCAGAGGAAAAGAAACUAACAAGGAUUUCCCUAGUAGCGGCGAGCAAAACGGAAAGAGCCCAGCUUGGAAAUCGGGGUGUCUCUGCACCCCAAAUUGUAGUCUAGAGAAGGGUCCUCUGCAGCGGACUGGGUUGGAACAGGAUGCCAGAGAGGCUAAGAGCCCCGUCUAGCCCGGACCCUACUGCAUCACGAGGCUCUUUCGGCGAGUCGGGCUAUUUGGGAAUGCAGCCUUAAGUGGGUGGUAAAUUCCAUCCAAGGCUAAAUACUGGUGAGAGACCGAUAGCGCACAAGUACCGCAAGAGAAAGAUGAAAAGGACUUUGAAAAGAGAGUUAAAAAGUGCUUGAAAUUGUUGGGAGGGAAGAGAAUGGAUGCCUUGUGCGCCCCUUGGUUGUGUGUGGAACGGCAAGAGCUGGUCUGCCAAGCAAUGCAAGGGGCUGUCCAGCAUGGGAGGACGCGGCGGGAUAACGGCUUGUGAGCCUCUGGCUCCCUGCCAAUGCCGCCGCUGCCUCUGAAAAUGGCGGGGUGCUCCGGUGCCCUGCCAGAUGCUGGAACUUGGGUGUUCCAUCCGACCCAUCUUGAAACAUGG
This 613-nucleotide non-coding RNA is filed under the name Selaginella moellendorffii. RNAcentral's name for it is "rRNA LSU_rRNA_eukarya". It matches the Rfam family "Eukaryotic large subunit ribosomal RNA", at positions 24 to 664 of the family's 3401-position model. Lineage: Eukaryota; Viridiplantae; Streptophyta; Lycopodiopsida; Selaginellales; Selaginellaceae. The record is from Rfam by way of RNAcentral.